Molecule: long non-coding RNA, 2527 nt
Filed under: Delphinapterus leucas (beluga whale)
Lineage: Eukaryota; Metazoa; Chordata; Mammalia; Artiodactyla; Monodontidae
Description: lncRNA (ENSDLEG00000020240.1)
Source: RNAcentral
ACGGGAGCCGCUUCUACUUGAGAACGCCACGGUCAGAAUUUGGCGGAGACAAGAUGUUGGAGGGGCCAGAGCAAUCUCCGGGCUUUAACAUGAGGCGAGGAGAAGAAGAUACUGGCAAGGUCCAGAAGGAGGCCUUCGCAUGAGGGCCUUGCUGGGCACCACCCAGUCUGUCAGCAUUCCUGAGAGCUUUGGUUUUAUCUUGUAUAAACAUAAGAAGCUUUAAGGGAGGAGCAUAAAUACAACGAAAUGCAGCUUUGUUUUAAGCGUCAGGACACUGAGGGGGAAGUGACAGACCCCCAUUCAGCCCACUGCCCGAGGCGGCGAAGGCCAGAAACCGCGGAAGCCGGGCCCUCGCUCUGUGACGUCGCCGGGGGUCCCUCCCACCUUCCCUAGCCCCGCCCUUCUUCAGUGCCUGAUAAAAGUCGAGCUCUUCCCACGCCCUGUCAGCUACGGGCGCCUGGAAAACCGGGAGAGCGGAUUCCCCCGCAGCAGCCAGAAGGCCCGGGAACACCUCAUAGCAACAGCCAGCCGGGGCAUCUAGUAGGAAGCUGGGAUUCAUUUCAGCCAACCAGCCCGCGCUUUUGGACCCCGUGGUAUCAUUCUCGACCAAUAGAGAGCCGCUUCAUGCCACGUGACACUGACCCAUCAGCCAAUGGAGGAAAACUCUAGUCGCAGGCUCAGCUAUCCCAUCUGCCACUGUUGGCCAGGCUGGGCGUUUGCCCCUGCGCACACUCUGCCAACCAAUCAUAGGUCCCCAAAAGUUGAGAAGCUCUGGACUGGAGUGCAUCUGAUAGAAGUUGUCACAAAAAAAUAGUGAGUCGGUGCCCAGUUACUCCACUUAGCAUAAUAGAGAGAGGACAGGUUUUUUAAGAUAUUUCUCAGUUUAUUUUCCCUGACCUUUCAUCAGUGCCACCUUUCUUGAUAAGGAGAAGUGUAGAGACUGCAGCUCUUGGAGUAGUGUAGCUCAUUUAUGUUUCUCCUAAUGACAGGCCUCAAUUUUCAUUCUCAGUGCUACCAUAAAGGUAGAUUUUUAAUCAAUAAGACUCAAAAAAAACAUGUUAAGUAGGAGUGUAUUUUCCUACCUAUUCUGUCUUGGUAGUGACCUGAUUUGAGGCUCUAUGUGAAAGAGAAGAAUUAGCUGCUAAAAGAAAGGAUGUUGGGAUGUGCAGAGAAUUUUGAAGAUUUGGGUGGGAAUUGGGUGUGUAUCUCCUGAUCUCUUAAUUGUGUUCAUUGCUAUGCUAGCAUGAACUAUCUAUUCUGAGAGUGAGUUUAGAAAUAAAAUGUCUCCAUUCAUUUGUUUGUGGGAAAGACAAAAUAAAAAUGAGAUAAAAUAAAAUUGAAUUUUCCCCAAGAGCUGUAAAUCUGUAUGAUAGUGAAAGCUUAACAGUGUACACUGACACUUAAGGGUCUCUUUAGCUUCAGAAGUACAUUGCUGGGAGAAAAAAAAAAAAAGAAAAGAGAAAAACUUCAUUUCUCCUCUCCCCUCUGAAUCUGAGAAUUAUCUCACCUAUGCCCAUAUAUCCUCAACUGUCACACUUGUGUUACCAUGGAAACCCAGCUCCUUUCUUUGCUUCAGUGAAAGAUGUUGGAAAAGGUGGGAUGAAGUGGGAAAUACACUGAAUUCUGGGACUUUCUGACAAUAGCAAGAAGCAAGUAUGCAAGGAAUUUAAUGUAAACAAGUUAGUAGAGGGCAUUCGUAAUCUGACCAGUGCUUUUCUUGGCUAUAAGACCCUGAUUCCUUUUGCUUCCUAUAAAAGCCUACAUGUCUCUGAUUAACCAUAAAGGGGAAGGACGAGUGAAAUACAUUUAGCACCUAUGAAAUGCUACUGGUAAUUAUAAAGAGAGCAGAAAACAUUUUCUUGGCCUCUCAGGCUCCUAAUACAGUUGAGAAACAGAAGUAUAUAUGAAGAGUGGAAAGGAAGGGGCAAAAUAAAUGUGUGUCUCUUUUGAAAAUGUGAUAUGUCUCAGUACUUUAGGAAAGAAAAAGAAUUAGAAUGCAGAAAUUGAGUAUGUAAACAAAUCAAUGAAAAAAACCUUUUGAUAGAGAAAAGAAAUUUUUCUUUUUUUAAGAAAUUAAUUUAUUUUUGUCUGCAUUGGGUCUUUGUUGCUGUGUAUGGGCUUUCUCUAGUUGUGGCAAGUGGGGGCUACACUUCAUUCUGGUGCGUGGGCUUCUCGUGGUGGUGGCUUCUCUUGUUGCUGAGCAUGGGCUCUAGGAGCAUGGGCUUCAGUAGUUGUAGCACAUGGGCUCAAUAGUUGUGGCUCAUGGGCUCUAGAGUGCAGGCUCAGUAGUUGUGGCGCACGGGCUUAAUUGCUCUGUGGCAUGUGGGAUCUUCCCGGACCAGGGCUUGAACCCGUGUCCCCUGCAUUGGCAGGUGGAUUCUUAACCACUGUGCCACUAGGGGACUCCCAAGAACAGAAAUUUUUCAAUAGGCAAUUUUCAGCAGAAAAAAAGAAAUCCAUGAAGGAAAGGCUUAAUGAUUAAAAUAUAGGGGAGGAAAAAAAAAAAAGAAAAACCCUGAAGAAUCUU